This 1489-nucleotide small RNA is filed under the name Rattus norvegicus (Norway rat). Its description in RNAcentral is "uncharacterized LOC102555661". Lineage: Eukaryota; Metazoa; Chordata; Mammalia; Rodentia; Muridae. The record is from RNAcentral.
AAAGGCCUCUGGGUAGAGCUGUUGACUGGGAGUAGCGCGAGGAAAAGAAGGGCGCUGGGUGAAGCAGUUGCUCAGACUCCAUAAGUGUGUGUCCAGAUCUACCAUCACAUAGUGAGGAAAUCAGUGGCUUGAAAUAGAAAUUUAUUAUCUAGCACCAAAGAGCUGAGUGAAAAAAAGGAAAAGAAACAUGACUGCUGCUAGGUCACAGCAAUCCUGCUGCUUCAUUACCAAAUUCAGUGGGCAACUCUCGGUAAUAUCAUGCCGGUCCUAGCAUUGGCACAGUGUAUCACUCACCUUCUGUGAUGCUGUGUUCAGCUGUUCCUGGUGAUCCACUCUUGACUUUACAUCAUGUCCCAGUGGCUACUUCUGAAUCCUGCUUGCUGGGACUCCUGUCUGAGAUUAUUUCUUCUGCUGCAAAAAGAAUACUCAAGGUGUAGCAGUGGAAAUAGAAAACUUCAGUAGUAAACUUGGAUUGGGAAGUCCUAACCUGUAUCUAUAUGGGCACACGAACACAGAUGAAUAAGAAGAUCAAGAGAUCACUCCUGAACCCCAGGUGCACAGACAAUUGUUCGCUACCCACGUGGUUACUGGGAAUCGAAGUGUACAGUGCUGAGCCAUCUAUCCAGCCCCCUGACUCAGGAUCUCAGGCAGUGGUGAAAUCUAAGGUCCAAAAAAGAUACAAUUUUCUCAAGGCAUUGUGACAAUUCCAGUAGCAGAGUGGCCAGACAACAUUUUUGACUUCUUGUCUUCUACCUAAGUUUUCUUAUGGAGACCCCGCAGCAGCAUGACAGAGGACUGUGAUGCUCCCAGGUGAUCUGUCUGGAACAGACAUCACUGUGUCUGAGACAUAGAGAAAAGAGGAUGAGUUACAGAUCCCUGCAGAGUACACACACAGGAACUUUUGGCUGUGCUCAUAUGGACCAUAGGUAUCAGAUAUGGGCCAGGAAUGGAGUCCUGUGAGAAGACUUCUGAGUGCUUGUGAGAAUAUUCCUAAAAAUCCAGACAAAAAGCCUUGGGAUCAAAGUUUCUUCAAGAUACCAAAUUGUCCAUAGACAGUGUUUUCAUGAUCCUCUCUGGUGUUUUGGAUAGCAAUGAGUUUACUUCAGAUUGCUCAUUUUUGCUUGCUGGUGUAAUUUAAUUAAGUUUUUAAAUGACCCUUUAUAUGCCUUUAUGGAAAAACAUAAUUUGGCACCUUGUAGCUAGUGCUUGUGUUCUUGUGAUUGUACACAACUUGAACUCAGGAGUAUUAUAUGUUUAAUUUCAGAGUAAUGUGUCUAUAUAUGUGUGUGUAAAUAUAUAUGUAUAUAUAUACACACACACGUAUAUAUAAUAUGAGGCUUUGAAUGAAGAUGGCUUUAGCAUAAGACUUUCAUAUACCUUAUCUAGGGCUCCAUUCUCCUAGGUCCACUGCCUAUAGAGCAGUGGCAGACAGGUGUGAAUAAACUGGGGAAACAAAGCCCAGAGGCAGGAGGAACGCCUUGAAAACCAC